This 274-nucleotide ribosomal RNA is filed under the name uncultured bacterium. RNAcentral describes it as "partial 16S ribosomal RNA". It matches the Rfam family "Archaeal small subunit ribosomal RNA", at positions 473 to 747 of the family's 1478-position model. The record is from RNAcentral.
AAACCAGCACCUCAAGUGGUCAGGAUGAUUAUUGGGCCUAAAGCAUCCGUAGCCGGCUCUGUAAGUUUUCGGUUAAAUCUGUACGCUCAACGUACAGGCUGCUGGGAAUACUGCAGAGCUAGGGAGUGUGAGAGGUAGACGGUACUCGGGAGGAAGUGGUAAAAUGCUUUGAUCUCUCGAUGACCACCUGUGGCGAAGGCGGUCUACCAGAACACGUCCGACGGUGAGGGAUGAAAGCUGGGGGAGCAAACCGAAUUAGAUACCCCAGUAGUCC